GCUAAGUGUUAGGSGGUUCGAACUUAGUGCUGCAGCUAACGCAUUAAGCACUCCGCCUGGGGAGUACGGUCGCAAGACUGAAACUCAAGGGAAUUGACGGGGGCCCGCACAAGCGGUGGAGCAUGUGGUUUAAUUCGAAGCAACGCGAAGAACCUUACCAGGUCUUGACAUCCUCUGACAAUCCUAGAGAUAGGACGUCCCCUCGGGGGCAGAGUGACAGGUGGUGCAUGGUUGUCGUCAGCUCGUGUCGUGAGAUGUU
RNAcentral lists this ribosomal RNA (259 nucleotides) under Bacillus sp. M20. RNAcentral's name for it is "partial 16S ribosomal RNA". It matches the Rfam family "Bacterial small subunit ribosomal RNA", at positions 815 to 1076 of the family's 1533-position model. Lineage: Bacteria; Bacillati; Bacillota; Bacilli; Caryophanales; Bacillaceae. The record is from RNAcentral.